Molecule: long non-coding RNA, 820 nt
Organism: Acinonyx jubatus (cheetah)
Lineage: Eukaryota; Metazoa; Chordata; Mammalia; Carnivora; Felidae
Exons: 4
Source: RefSeq, a predicted model, not a curated record
AUUAAGUUUCUAUUGUAACAAAUUAAUACAAACAGUGUCUUAAAACAACACAAAUUUAUUCUGUUACAGUUCUGGAGGUUAAAAAUUCUAAAUCAGUUUCACUGGGCUAAGAUCAAUGUAUUAUAAGGACUGCAUUCUUUCUGAAGGUUCUAGGGGAGAAUCUAUUUCUUGUCUUUUCCAGCUGCUAGAGUCUGGCUAUAUUUCUUGGUUUGUAGCCCCUUUACAAGCAACGGCAUCAGUCUGACCUCUGCUUCCAUUAUUACAUCUCUUUCUGUGACCCUGACCUUCCUAUUCCCUCUUGUAACCCUUGUGAUUACAUUCGACUUCCCCACAUAAUCCAGCAUGAUCUCUCCAUCUCAAGAUCCUUAAUUUAAUAAGAGUCACUUUCCACCAAUUGACGUUUCUCUUCAUAAUGGAUCACAUUUUAUGCUACUUUGCAUUGCAGACUGCUACACUGCCCUGCAAAACUUAGCCACUUCAGACUUCCUGGACUUCCAGCUCCAUACUCUCAACUCAACAAUCUCCAAGUUCUGCCCAGCUUCUCCCUUUAUUCUCAGUGGCCUGAAAACUCUCUGAAGGGUGCUGUCGAAAAAAACCACCAGAUGUCGAAUAGAAGCGAGGCAAGAUUUUAUUCACGGCCAGGCCAAACCUGAUCUGAUCUUAGGGAGAAAAGUGCAGAGAACGCCCCGAACAAAGGUAGCAGUGAGCUUGUAUGGAUUUUAGCAAGUCAGAAUAUGUCAUUAUUUAGUUAACCAAUUACAAUUUACAGCAUUUCAUGGUAGCCAAUUAUAUUGUGACACACAGAUGUUAGUUUUGGCGG